Molecule: ribosomal RNA, 465 nt
Filed under: Vreelandella stevensii
Lineage: Bacteria; Pseudomonadati; Pseudomonadota; Gammaproteobacteria; Oceanospirillales; Halomonadaceae
Description: partial 16S ribosomal RNA
Rfam family: Bacterial small subunit ribosomal RNA
Source: RNAcentral
CCUACGGGGGGCAGCAGUGGGGAAUAUUGGACAAUGGGGGUAACCCUGAUCCAGCCAUGCCGCGUGUGUGAAGAAGGCCCUCGGGUUGUAAAGCACUUUCAGUGAGGAAGAACGCCUGGUGGUUAAUACCCAUCAGGAAAGACAUCACUCACAGAAGAAGCACCGGCUAACUCCGUGCCAGCAGCCGCGGUAAUACGGAGGGUGCGAGCGUUAAUCGGAAUUACUGGGCGUAAAGCGCGCGUAGGUGGCUUGAUAAGCCGGUUGUGAAAGCCCCGGGCUCAACCUGGGAACGGCAUCCGGAACUGUCAAGCUAGAGUGCAGGAGAGGAAGGUAGAAUUCCCGGUGUAGCGGUGAAAUGCGUAGAGAGCGGGAGGAAUACCAGUGGCGAAGGCGGCCUUCUGGACUGACACUGACACUGAGGUGCGAAAGCGUGGGUAGCAAACAGGAUUAGAUACCCUAGUAGUC